RNAcentral lists this long non-coding RNA (885 nucleotides) under Cyanistes caeruleus (blue tit). RNAcentral's name for it is "lncRNA (ENSCCEG00000018010.1)". The record is from RNAcentral. Lineage: Eukaryota; Metazoa; Chordata; Aves; Passeriformes; Paridae.
GAUGGGAGAGUCUGGAAGAAGAUAUGGAGCAGUGACCCCCAAGAGUGCCCAAGCUGACCUGGGUGGAUGAGGAGGAGGAGGUCGAGGAAGAGGAAGAAGGCCCUGGAGCUGCCCCAGCACCAGAGACCGAAGAGGUGCAGCAGUUGCAGCCGCUGGAGGAGGAUGCAGCCAUGGACGGCACACAAGAGCAGGACACCGCCCGUGGCCGCUUCCGCAGAGCAGCGCAGUUUCUUUACCAAUACAUCAAGAGAAUUGGCAAGGAAGACACCAGACCUAUGGACACUGAGGUCAAGACAUCCUCAGAGGUCUUGGUAGAACAGAGCAGCGCUGCCCAGCUGGAUCUGCUUGUAGAGACGGCUCUUUUCAAUCCAGAGCAAGUGCCCGGCGUGGUGAGGUACAUCCACCAGUGGCUCAUGGCCAAUGAGGCUGCUGAGCACAGGAUGGACUGGGCCCUGAUGCAAGUGGCCGAGGCAGAGCCCGAUGAUGUGGCCAUCACUCUCCUGCGGGUGGCCCCAACGUGUGACAGAGCUGCUAUGGCCAUGUGGACGACCAUCUUGCUCUCGCCCUGGAUUUCAGAGGAAGUGACACCGCUCCUCAUCAAUGUGGUGGGGAGCUGGCCGCAGAAAAACCUGGGCACCUCUGAUGGGGACAAGACGGCUGUCUUUUCCCUGACUGCAACUCUGGUGAUGUGGAAGAUCCUCCAGGGGCCUUGUUGCCCACAGAUCCUCACAGUCUAUUUCCCCCGCCUCUUUGUGCAUCUCCUCUUCCAAACGUACUUCAGUACUUUGUAUAUGACAGAGGACAUCCAUACCUUCUGGAAGGAAUGCCAGGAGCAACACGGCCUCUCCACCAGCCCCAACAGGUGCUCCAUGCCCCUCCUCCUGU